UGCAUGUCUAAGUACAUGCCGUAUUAAGGCGAAACCGCGAAUGGCUCAUUAAAUCAGUUAUGGUUCCUUGGAUCGUACCUUACUACUUGGAUAACUGUGGUAAUUCUAGAGCUAAUACAUGCAGCAGAGCUCCGACCUUCGGGGACGAGCGCUUUUAUUAGACCAAAACCAAUCGGACUCCGUCCGUCUCUCGUGGUGACUCUGAAUAACUUUGGGCUGAUCGCACGGGCCCGUCCCGGCGACGUAUCUUUCAAGUGUCUGCCUUAUCAACUUUCGAUGGUAGGUUACGCGCCUACCAUGGUCGUAACGGGUAACGGGGAAUCAGGGUUCGAUUCCGGAGAGGGAGCCUGAGAAACGGCUACCACAUCCAAGGAAGGCAGCAGGCGCGCAAAUUACCCACUCCCAGAACGGGGAGGUAGUGACGAAAAAUAACAAUACGGGACUCUUUUGAGACCCCGUAAUUGGAAUGAGUACACUCUAAAUCCUUUAACGAGGAUCCAUUGGAGGGCAAGUCUGGUGCCAGCCGCCGCGGUAACUCCAGCUCCAAUAGCGUAUAUUAAAGUUGUUGCGGUUAAAAAGCUCGUAGUUGGAUCUCAGUUCCAGACGGGUGGUCCGCCAACCGGUGGUUACUGCCUGUUCUGAACAGCCAGCCGGUUUCUCUUGAUGAUCUUCACCGGUUGUCUUGGGUGACCGGCAAGUUUACUUUGAAAAAAUUAGAGUGCUCAAAGCAGGCGCGACGCCUGAAUAAUGGUGCAUGGAAUAAUGGAAUAGGACCUCGGUUCUAUUUUGUUGGUUUUCGGAACACGAGGUAAUGAUUAAGAGGGACAGACGGGGGCAUUCGUAUUGCGACGCUAGAGGUGAAAUUCUUGGACCGUCGCAGGACGAACUACUGCGAAAGCAUUUGCCAAGAAUGUUUCCAUUAAUCAAGAACGAAAGUUAGAGGUUCGAAGGCGAUCAGAUACCGCCCUAGUUCUAACCAUAAACGAUGCCAGCUAGCGAUCCGGCUGUGUUCCUCAAAUGACACGCCGGGCAGCUUCCGGGAAACCAAAGCUUUUGGGUUCCGGGGGAAGUAUGGUUGCAAAGCUGAAACUUAAAGGAAUUGACGGAAGGGCACCACCAGAAAUGGAGCCUGCGGCUUAAUUUGACUCAACACGGGAAAACUCACCCGGCCCGGACACAGGAAGGAUUGACAGAUUAAGAGCUCUUUCUUGAUUCUGUGGGUGGUGGUGCAUGGCCGUUCUUAGUUGGUGGAGCGAUUUGUCUGGUUAAUUCCGAUAACGAACGAGACUCUAGCCUACUAAAUAGACGUUCCCAUCAAUCUCGUGGGGCGUUCUUCUUAGA
This 1341-nucleotide ribosomal RNA is filed under the name Chrysilla volupe. Its description in RNAcentral is "SSU rRNA". It matches the Rfam family "Eukaryotic small subunit ribosomal RNA", at positions 52 to 1415 of the family's 1831-position model. The record is from RNAcentral. Lineage: Eukaryota; Metazoa; Arthropoda; Arachnida; Araneae; Salticidae.